UCCAGGACCGUGGCCUUAGGAAUGCUGGGAAUCCUAUCCUUUCUGAGUAGCCAGGCCUGGACACCCACACACCAUGAUGGCUCCAGCAACGCAGCCCAGCCUGAGCUCUGACUCAGGGGUGUGACUUCUGCUACAGUCUUCCAAAAUGAGUGGGAGAUGAUAGGAGUGGAUUACGCGGGCCUCUCACUGUUGUGGCCUCUCCUGUUGCAGAGCACAGGCUCUGGACACGCAGGCUCAGCGGCCAUGGCUCACGAGCCUAGCCGGUCCACGGCAUGUGGGAUCUUCCUGGACCGGGGCAUGAACCUGCAUCCCCUGCAUCGGCAGGCAGACUCUCCACCACUGCGCCACCAGGGAAGCCCGGGCGCCCAGGUGUUCAAUCAGCUGCUCUGCACUGGACACCCCCAGCAAGACCGAGCUGACACCCUCACUGCGGAGACACCACGCUGGGCCAGAGAAGGAAAUAAAAAAGAACUGGUCGGAAAGAGUGAGCACGCAGACUUCAGAGGUGUCUCCGAGGAAGAGGGUCCUCCCCAGAGACAAACCAGUCUGCGGUUUGGUAGCAUCUCAGGAGGAGACAAGGCCUCUGCAGGGUCCAGGGCUGGCAGUGUCUCACCAAUAGCAAGCUGCGCCACGGUGCAGCCCAGCUGGUGAGCGAUGGGGAGAAGGUCCAUGACUUUGGCUUGUUGCUUCUUGCCAUCCUCACUCUGCACUUUGUCUUUGUGCCACUGGUAGCCCUGGAGGCCAAGGAGAAUCAGCAAAAGACGACUCCUCAGAUAGUCCACUCCUGCUGUCCUGAGCCCCCAGAUCUCACCUUGAUGUUGACCCUGCAGGUAUCUGGGACUCGCCCAUCAUACUUGCUAGUGAUGAGGCCACAGGCAAGAGGGGACCAGGUGACUGAGCCAACACCUAAGAGGAAGAGGAUUGGAUGUGGGAAAGGGAUCUAGGUGAUGGUGAGGCCGAGGGAAAGGUAGGGAUGAGGGGACUUCGAACCAAUCUUGUGGUAGAGCUCUGGCAGCUGCAUCUCCACCUUCUCUCUCUGAAACAGAUGGUGCUCAGCUUGUUCACACACUGGAGGAAUCAGGUUGAACUGUCUGGCCAUGGAGUAGGCCUCCUGAGUUGGGGUGGGGAAAAGAUGGGGGUCAGAGCACUCCUUCCAUUUUCUUCCACUCCCCCCCCUCCAGUAGAGUGGGGUUUGGAGUGGCCAUGUGAAAAGUGGGAACAAGUUGUAGGACGGCGAGGUGGGUGGCACACUCACCAUGAUUUCUGCAGCCCCCCAUCGGGAUGUCCCCCAGUAUAGGGCCAGGCCCUGGUUGAUGACAUAGGUCAUGGCUCGCACAAUCUCUAGGCACAUAGGAGAGGGAGAGCCUCACUGUCAGACCCCUGGCAUCCUGGGUUCCAGAUGUGCAGACCUCUGCCUGCCCCACCAAGGCCCCACUCAUCCCUGUGGAGUCGGAGGGGUUGGUAUCUGCUUUUCACCUCCCUCCCCGUCCAAGUCCUGGGGUCUGAGCCUCUGCUGUGGAGCUUGGGUGGCCUCCUGAGCAGGGGCUGGCUUCUGCUGAGGGUUUUAGAAGUGCUCAGUUUUGAAGGGCUGUCAGGGUUGGGGUGCUGCUUUUACCCUCCAUGGGACUGUUGGGGUCUGAGCGAUUGGCGAAGAUGAUGUCCACAUAUCCCAGCUGGAGGCGUUCCAGGGAUCCUCGCAAGCCUGGGGUAAAAGCAUGGGGCGAGGAAGGUAAGCUCUUCAGCUUCAGUUUCCUAAGAAUUUAGACCUUAUCCUUUUGCCAUGGCCACCUAAAUCCCGGCUUCCCUAUUCAAAGCCUCAGACUCAGAGCUUCAGAGAAUGUUCCCAACUCCUCUGGCUUCCAUACCCAGCCACCUCCAGUUCCCAGCCCCUAACUCUUACCCUCAAUGAUGUGUUUGCGGCUCAAGCCUCGCUCAGUUUCUGCCCUGUAGGAAAAGGUAAGUCAGAGAUGAGGUGUGUCAAAGAUAAGGGACCAGGGCUGGCCUGGAAUCAUGAGGAACUGGUAUUUCAGGGGUCCUCACAGGCAGGAUGCAGACCUGGGGUAGCAGGUGCAGGGACUGCUGUCCCCACCCCCAUCCCAUGCACCUUCACACAGUCUCUGCAGAUCUCCCCAAUUAUAGUGAGGCAGCCACUUACUGUCCUCCCCCAAAAAUCUUGGUGGUGAUGACAUAGCUUGAUCUCCUGGAAGAAAGAGAAAUGGUAGAACGGGCAAGAAAAGGAUUUUUGGAUGAUCAUGUCCCCAGCAACCUCCCGGCCCUCCCCACCCACCCAACAUGUCUUACCUCCAACCUUUGCUCUUGAGGAUGUUGCCUAGGGUUCUUUCAGCCCUGGAAGGAAGACAGUGUAGAAGCACUGACCCCUCCAAAGUGGAUCAGUUUCUUUCCUUCCUCCCCACCUUUCCCUUCAACUAAUUUCCUCUCCUGUAAAAUGGAGCAUAAACAAGGAGCCCAUUGGGCUGUCAGCCCCUCCUAGACUAAGUAAGAGGGGCUCCCAAUCUAGGGUUCUAGUCGUAUCAUUUUCACUCAUUCAUUCAACAAAUGUCAGCUGUGCAUCACUGUGUACCAAGCUCUGUUCUGGGUGCUGAAGGGAUAGAAUAGGAUGAGAGAAGAGGGACCAACUAUAGUGGAGCCAGGGAGGACACUGCCUCGUCUGGUUCCAACCAUUUGAAUUGCCCUCCCCCUUCUUUUAGUCUUUGCAAAGUUCCACCCAUCCUCCAAAAUUUAGCUUGGUCCUCCAAAAUUUAGCUUGGAUUCUGCCUCAUUCUAUGGAAAAUGUUCUCUGAUUGCUGUAGUCUAUGGUCAGUCCUUGUCAGCUUCCAUAGCUCUUAUUGGCUACACAAUUUUUUGACACUUAAUCAUGAGUUAAUGUGUGACAAGUCUUAAGUUAUGGUGGGCUCUUACUGAAGUGUUACUGUUAUUUAAUCUUUCGUAUCUCCUUGUCUUUUGGUUUGUUUGUUUAACCACUUAGACUGUGAGCUUUUUGAGGGCAUAUUGAUGUCAUCCUUCAAUCAGAUACCUGCUCUGUGACAGGCUCUGCAUAGGUACUUAGGUGACGUGGGAAAGCGCAAGACAAGUUCUGUGGAGGGAGGAGCCUCCCAGGUGAGCAGUGAAUAUGGCCUUGUAAACGAGUAAUUGAUGAACUCUGUGUCAGAGGGUAGUGUAAAGUGCUUUGGGAGCUGAUGGGGAUAGUGACCAACUUUGGGGAGCUGGGCAAAGGCUUCUUGGAAGAGCUGACAUCUGGGACAAGUCUUAAAGAUAAGCAGAAGAGUUUGCCAGAAGAAGAGGCAGGAGUAGUCAUCCUAGGUUUUUACUAUUUGCAGCGUGAAGCCAUGUGUGCUGUGGUAUAGUAUGUUUGAAAUUUAUCUUUGUCAUCCUCACAUAGUUGCACAUAAAUGACGUCCAGGAAA
Molecule: long non-coding RNA, 3425 nt
Organism: Orcinus orca (killer whale)
Lineage: Eukaryota; Metazoa; Chordata; Mammalia; Artiodactyla; Delphinidae
Exons: 4
Source: RefSeq, a predicted model, not a curated record